Molecule: non-coding RNA, 86 nt
Filed under: Paenalicyclobacillus ferrooxydans
Lineage: Bacteria; Bacillati; Bacillota; Bacilli; Caryophanales; Alicyclobacillaceae
Description: Alicyclobacillus ferrooxydans c-di-GMP sequence
Rfam family: c-di-GMP-I riboswitch aptamer
About the family: GEMM was predicted in a large-scale screen for bacterial structured RNA regulatory elements. Genes associated with GEMM are involved in a diverse array of functions, including chemotaxis regulation, signal transduction, secretion and chitin.
Source: Rfam by way of RNAcentral
AUUGUAUAAGGGCAAACCUGACUGAAAAGCAGGGACGCAAAGUCACAGGUCUAAGGUUUCCUUACUAUGACAGCUGGACUGCCGAC